This is a long non-coding RNA of Girardinichthys multiradiatus, 320 nucleotides long. RefSeq lists it as uncharacterized. NCBI's taxonomy places the organism in Eukaryota, Metazoa, Chordata, Actinopteri, Cyprinodontiformes, Goodeidae. The record is from RefSeq and is a predicted model, not a curated record. The transcript is spliced from 2 exons.
CAUAGAGGACACUGGAGUGUACUGGUGUGAGUCCAGAGAGGGAGCAGCCAGCAGCAGCAUCAACCUCACUGUCUCUGGUGGAUCAGUGAUCCUGCAGAGUCCUGUCCUCCCUGUGAUGGAGGAAGAUGACGUCACUCUGAGCUGUCAAACAAAGACUUCCUCCAACCUCCCAGCUGCUUUCAUUAAAGAUGGCUCCCUCAUCAGGACUGAGUCUGCAGGUCACAUGACCCUCCACCAUGUGACCAGCUCUGAUGAAGGUCUCUACAAGUGUAACAUCAGUGGUCAUGGAGAGUCUCCAUCCAGCUGGAUCUCUGUCUCAG